AUGGGCAUUUCAAAAAGCAGAAUGAAAAAAGUCGCACCUGUGUCAGUGGCAGAGGAAACCGUCAGUAACAGCGGCAUUCACCGGGAUGAAAGUCAUUUGUUUGGUCCCUCAAACAGCAAAGCUUCAGAUCUGCGUGUGUCCGUCAGAAGGAGAGUCCAGGCAGACUGGAAGAGUGAGGGACAGGACUCAGCCGAGGAUCUCGCUGAGGAAUCUUUAGGGCUUUACUACUACGCCAAAGGCCAAGACUGCAACAACGUUUACAGUUUCAGCACACGUGACAACAAUGAAAUGAACACAGUGAACAUACCAACUUCCAUUCAUAAAAAGGUAGGGCCUCAACAAGACAACACAGAGAGCACAGCAACAGCUCCAGGUUCUGGAAUUAGUGGUUCAUCUGUGGCCUUGCCUAUCAUGUAUGAUGCUUCAGAAGAGGACCUCAUGAACACAAUCGAGAGGGAGUUUGGUUAA
This 468-nucleotide long non-coding RNA is filed under the name Carassius auratus (goldfish). Its description in RNAcentral is "lncRNA (ENSCARG00000069446.1)". Lineage: Eukaryota; Metazoa; Chordata; Actinopteri; Cypriniformes; Cyprinidae. The record is from RNAcentral.